Molecule: ribosomal RNA, 511 nt
Filed under: uncultured bacterium
Lineage: Bacteria
Description: bacterial LSU rRNA
Rfam family: Bacterial large subunit ribosomal RNA
Source: RNAcentral
CGAAUGGGGAAACCCACUCAGGAAAACCUGAGUAUCGCACACUGAAUCCAUAGGUGUGCGAGGCGAACCCGGGGAACUGAAACAUCUAAGUACCCGGAGGAAAAGAAAUCAACCGAGAUUCCCUUAGUAGCGGCGAGCGAACGGGGGAUUAGCCCUUAAGUUGGCAUUGUUCUAGUGGAACCCUCUGGAAAGUGGGGCCAUAGCGGGUGACAGCCCCGUACACGAAAGGGCAUUGCCGAUGAAAACGAGUAGGUCGGGACACGUGGUAUCCUGAUUGAAGAUGGGGGGACCAUCCUCCAAGGCUAAAUACUCCCAGCUGACCGAUAGUGAACCAGUACCGUGAGGGAAAGGCGAAAAGAACCCCGGAGAGGGGAGUGAAAUAGACCUGAACCCUGUGCGUACAAGCAGUGGGAGCCUGUCUGCGGACGGGUGACUGCGUACCUUUUGUAUAAUGGGUCAGCGAGUUAUUCUCAGUGGCGAGGUUAACCGUAUAGGGGAGCCGUAGGGAACC